Molecule: ribosomal RNA, 146 nt
Filed under: uncultured eukaryote
Lineage: Eukaryota
Description: partial 18S ribosomal RNA
Rfam family: Eukaryotic small subunit ribosomal RNA
Source: RNAcentral
UGGUGGAGUGAUUUGUCUGGUUAAUUCCGUUAACGAACGAGACCUCCGCGUGCUAAAUAGUUCCGCUUACACUUUUGUGUAGGUUUUGUGGACUUCUUAGAGGGACUUUUGGGUAAUCAAACCAAAGGAAGUUGGAGGCAAUAACA